RNAcentral lists this ribosomal RNA (762 nucleotides) under uncultured bacterium. Its description in RNAcentral is "bacterial SSU rRNA". It matches the Rfam family "Bacterial small subunit ribosomal RNA", at positions 68 to 826 of the family's 1533-position model. The record is from RNAcentral.
GGCAGCGCGGGGCAACCUGGCGGCGAGUGGCGAACGGGUGAGUAAUAUAUCGGAACGUACCCAAGAGUGGGGGAUAACGCAGCGAAAGUUGCGCUAAUACCGCAUACGAUCUAAGGAUGAAAGCAGGGGACCGCAAGGCCUUGUGCUCCUGGAGCGGCCGAUAUCUGAUUAGCUAAUUGGUGAGGUAAAGGCUCACCAAGGCGACGAUCAGUAGCUGGUCUGAGAGGACGACCAGCCACACUGGAACUGAGACACGGUCCAGACUCCUACGGGAGGCAGCAGUGGGGAAUUUUGGACAAUGGGCGCAAGCCUGAUCCAGCAAUGCCGCGUGAGUGAAGAAGGCCUUCGGGUUGUAAAGCUCUUUUGUCAGGGAAGAAACGGCUGUGGCUAAUAUCCACGGCUAAUGACGGUACCUGAAGAAUAAGCACCGGCUAACUACGUGCCAGCAGCCGCGGUAAUACGUAGGGUGCAAGCGUUAAUCGGAAUUACUGGGCGUAAAGCGUGCGCAGGCGGUUUUGUAAGUCUGACGUGAAAUCCCCGGGCUUAACCUGGGAAUUGCGUUGGAGACUGCAAGGCUAGAAUCUGGCAGAGGGGGGUAGAAUUCCACGUGUAGCAGUGAAAUGCGUAGAGAUGUGGAGGAACAUCGAUGGCGAAGGCAGCUCCCUGGGUCAAGAUUGACGCUCAUGCACGAAAGCGUGGGGAGCAAACAGGAUUAGAUAUCCUGGUAGUCCACGCCUCUAAACGAUGUCUACUAGUUGUCGG